GCGAAGGUGGCGGAAUUGGUAGACGCGCUAGCUUUUGGUAGCGCAACUGGUUUGGGACCAGUGGGUCGGAGGUUCGAAUCCUCUCUCGCC
This 90-nucleotide transfer RNA is filed under the name Citrobacter freundii. RNAcentral's name for it is "tRNA-Pro". The stretch from base 7 to 85 matches the Rfam family "tRNA", at positions 7 to 64 of the family's 71-position model. Rfam says of the family: Transfer RNA (tRNA) molecules are approximately 80 nucleotides in length. Their secondary structure includes four short double-helical elements and three loops (D, anti-codon, and T loops). Further hydrogen bonds mediate the characteristic L-shaped molecular structure. tRNAs have two regions of fundamental functional importance: the anti-codon, which is responsible for specific mRNA codon recognition, and the 3' end, to which the tRNAs corresponding amino acid is attached (by aminoacyl-tRNA synthetases). tRNAs cope with the degeneracy of the genetic code in two manners: having more than one tRNA (with a specific anti-codon) for a particular amino acid; and 'wobble' base-pairing, i.e. permitting non-standard base-pairing at the 3rd anti-codon position. The record is from RNAcentral. Lineage: Bacteria; Pseudomonadati; Pseudomonadota; Gammaproteobacteria; Enterobacterales; Enterobacteriaceae.